Molecule: ribosomal RNA, 496 nt
Filed under: uncultured bacterium
Lineage: Bacteria
Description: partial 16S ribosomal RNA
Rfam family: Bacterial small subunit ribosomal RNA
Source: RNAcentral
AUGAACGCUGGCGGCGUGCCUAAUACAUGCAAGUCGAGCGAACAGACGAGGAGCUUGCUCCUCUGACGUUAGCGGCGGACGGGUGAGUAACACGUGGAUAACCUACCUAUAAGACUGGGAUAACUUCGGGAAACCGGAGCUAAUACCGGAUAAUAUAUUGAACCGCAUGGUUCAAUAGUGAAAGACGGUUUUGCUGUCACUUAUAGAUGGAUCCGCGCCGCAUUAGCUAGUUGGUAAGGUAACGGCUUACCAAGGCAACGAUGCGUAGCCGACCUGAGAGGGUGAUCGGCCACACUGGAACUGAGACACGGUCCAGACUCCUACGGGAGGCAGCAGUAGGGAAUCUUCCGCAAAGGGCGAAAGCCUGACGGAGCAACGCCGCGUGAGUGAUGAAGGUCUUCGGAUCGUAAAACUCUGUUAUUAGGGAAGAACAAAUGUGUAAGUAACUAUGCACGUCUUGACGGUACCUAAUCAGAAAGCCACGGAUAACUACGUG